Molecule: ribosomal RNA, 440 nt
Filed under: uncultured bacterium
Lineage: Bacteria
Description: partial 16S ribosomal RNA
Rfam family: Bacterial small subunit ribosomal RNA
Source: RNAcentral
CCUACGGGGCGCUGCAGUGGGGAAUAUUGCACAAUGGGGGAAACCCUGAUGCAGCGACGCCGCGUGAAGGAAGAAGUAUUUCGGUAUGUAAAGCUCUAUCAGCAGGGAAGAAAAUGACGGUACCUGAGUAAGAAGCCCCGGCUAACUACGUGCCAGCAGCCGCGGUAAUACGUAGGGGGCAAGCGUUAUCCGGAUUUACUGGGUGUAAAGGGAGCGUAGACGGCAGUGCAAGUCUGGAGUGAAAGGCGGGGGCUCAACCCCCGGACUGCUCUGGAAACUGUACGGCUGGAGUGCAGGAGAGGUAAGUGGAAUGCCUAGUGUAGCGGUGAAAUGCGUAGAUAUUAGGAGGAACACCAGUGGCGAAGGCGGCUUACUGGACUGUAACUGACGUUGAGGCUCGAAAGCGUGGGGAGCAAACAGGAUUAGAUACCCCUGUAGUC